UACGUAGGUCCCGAGCGUUGUCCGGAUUUAUUGGGCGUAAAGCGAGCGCAGGUGGUUUAUUAAGUCUGGUGUAAAAGGCAGUGGCUCAACCAUUGUAUGCAUUGGAAACUGGUAGACUUGAGUGCAGGAGAGGAGAGUGGAAUUCCAUGUGUAGCGGUGAAAUGCGUAGAUAUAUGAAGGAACACCGGUGGCGAAAGCGGCUCUCUGGCCUGUAACUGACACUGAGGCUCGAAAGCGUGGGGAGCAAACAGG
This 252-nucleotide ribosomal RNA is filed under the name uncultured bacterium. RNAcentral describes it as "partial 16S ribosomal RNA". It matches the Rfam family "Bacterial small subunit ribosomal RNA", at positions 524 to 776 of the family's 1533-position model. The record is from RNAcentral.